Long non-coding RNA from Felis catus (domestic cat), 759 nucleotides. RefSeq lists it as uncharacterized. Lineage: Eukaryota; Metazoa; Chordata; Mammalia; Carnivora; Felidae. The record is from RefSeq and is a predicted model, not a curated record. The transcript has 4 exons.
CGCGGAAACGGUCAAUGAGCUCAGGCAGUAGGGGCUUGAUGGCUUCAGGCAGGGAAGGAGGCUAGUGGAGACCAAGAGGAGCCGCCCCCUGCCUGGUGCCCCGCUGCAGAGCCUGAUUGCUCAUUCGGAGCGGUUUCUACUUGUAAUUUGUUGGCUCAAAGCCCGAGAAGCGGUGCCGGCCCAGAAGUGACAUUCCCUUCCACACCUUUAAGCGAUACUCUUUUAGCUGUGUCAUCUUCCGAUCACUCUGGGCCUCGACCCCAGGCCCCCGCUGUGUCCGCACAGGCCCCGGCCCGCCUCCUUUGCUGGUGCUCUUUCCACCAGGGCUCUCUCUGGGGCCCAAGCCCCUCUCCAUCGGGAAGCCAGCCGGCUGCCGGCAGCGGUGAAAAGACCCCGUCCUCACGGCCGAUAUGUCAGGCCGGAAACGAGGAUGGGGCUGCGUGUUAGAACCACCUGAUGUCCAAGGCCGGACCAGACAAACUCGAAGCCAUGGGAGCGGGACCAGACAGCAGGAUGGUUGGUGAAAGUGCUCAGCUGAGCCCAGCCUGGGCCGGGUCUGAGCAUCACUGCCCUACAGCCUUAUUGCCUAAGCUCCGCCCGGGACCUCAGCAUCGCUGGGAAUUUGUUAAAAAUGCUGGACCCUAGGGGCGCCUGGGUGGCUCAGUCGGUGAAGCGUCCGACUUCGGCUCAGGUCAUGAUCUCACUGGCCGUGAGUUCGAGCCCCACGUUGGGCUCUGUGCUGACAGCUCAGACCCUGGA